GGUAGCGUGGCCGAGUGGUCUAUGGCGCUGUGUUCAGGUACGGUUGUUACUUUAACCGCAGUCUUCGGGCGCGGGUUCGAAUCCCGUCGCUGCCA
Molecule: transfer RNA, 95 nt
Filed under: Kwoniella mangroviensis CBS 8507
Lineage: Eukaryota; Fungi; Basidiomycota; Tremellomycetes; Tremellales; Cryptococcaceae
Also listed under: 2 other names
Description: tRNA-Leu
Rfam family: tRNA
About the family: Transfer RNA (tRNA) molecules are approximately 80 nucleotides in length.
Source: RNAcentral